GGAGGUUGCUGCUAUUGGGGUUCGACUAAGCCAUGCAAGUUUGCUCAGCAAUGGGCGGCAGACUGCUCAGUAACACGUCAAUAAUCUGCCCUUAGAUCUAGGAUAACCUUGGGAAACUGAGGCUAAAACUGGAUAGAAGAUUAUAAUUGGAAAAUGUUUUCUUUCAAAAGCAAUGUCUAAGGAUGAGUUGGCGGCUGAUUAGGUUGUUGGUGAGGUAAAGGCUCACCAAGCCGACGAUCAGUAAGGGCCUUGAAAGAGGUAGCCCUGAGAAGGACACUGAGACACUGGUCCUAGCCCUACGGGGUGCAGCAGGCGCGAAACCUUUACAAUGCACGCAAGUGUGAUAAGGGAACCCCAAGUGCUCAUGUUUUACAUGGGCUUUUGCUAAGAGUAAAAACCUUAGCGAAUAAGUGGUGGGUAAGACGGGUGCCAGCCGCCGCGGUAACACCUGCGCCACAAGUGGCAACCAGUAUUAUUGGGCCUAAAGCGUCCGUAGCCGGUUUGAUAAAUCUUUUGUGAAAUUGUUGUGCUUAACGCAACAGCGUGCAAAAGAGACUGUCAGACUUGGAACCGGGAGGAGUCAGAAGUAUUUCUGGGGGAGCGGUAAACUGCUAUAAUCCUAGAAAGACUGCCAGUGGCAAAGGCGUCCGACUAAAGCGGCUUCGACGGUGAGGGGCGAAAGCCAGGGGAGCAAUCCGGAUUAGAUA
Molecule: ribosomal RNA, 707 nt
Filed under: uncultured euryarchaeote
Lineage: Archaea; Methanobacteriati; Methanobacteriota
Description: bacterial SSU rRNA
Rfam family: Archaeal small subunit ribosomal RNA
Source: RNAcentral